CUGCUGCCUCCCGUAGGAGUCUGGUCCGUGUCUCAGUACCAGUGUGGGGGACCUUCCUCUCAGAACCCCUACGCAUCGUCGCCUCGGUGGGCCGUUACCCCGCCGACUAGCUAAUGCGACGCAUGGCCAUCCUAUGCCGGAGUCGCCUCCUUUGACCCCCUGGAGAUGUCUCCAAAUGGUGUUAUGCGGUAUUAGACGGAAUUUCUUCCGCUUAUCCCCCCUGCAUAGGGCAGGUUCCAUACGUGUUACUCACCCGUGCCG
Molecule: ribosomal RNA, 261 nt
Filed under: uncultured bacterium
Lineage: Bacteria
Description: partial 16S ribosomal RNA
Source: RNAcentral